This 331-nucleotide ribosomal RNA is filed under the name uncultured Pseudomonadota bacterium. RNAcentral describes it as "bacterial SSU rRNA". It matches the Rfam family "Bacterial small subunit ribosomal RNA", at positions 568 to 898 of the family's 1533-position model. Lineage: Bacteria; Pseudomonadati; Pseudomonadota. The record is from RNAcentral.
CGCGUAGGCGGUCGAGUAAGUCGGAUGUGAAAUCCCCUGGCUUAACCUGGGAAUUGCAUUCGAUACUGCUUGGCUAGAGUGUGGAAGAGGGAAGCGGAAUUUCCGGUGUAGCGGUGAAAUGCGUAGAUAUCGGAAGGAACACCAGUGGCGAAGGCGGCUUCCUGGUCCAACACUGACGCUGAGGCGCGAAAGCGUGGGGAGCAAACAGGAUUAGAUACCCUGGUAGUCCACGCUGUAAACGAUGAGAACUAGAUGUUGGGGGGUAUAACCCCUCAGUGUCGCAGCUAACGCGUUAAGUUCUCCGCCUGGGGAGUACGGCCGCAAGGUUGAA